ACGGCUCAGUAACACGUGGACAACCUACCCUUGAGUCGGGGAUAAACCCGGGAAACUGGGUAUAAUACCCGAUAGUCCUCGGCUGCUGGAAUGCAUCGAGAACGAAAGCUCCGACGCUCAAGGAUGGGUCUGCGGCCUAUCAGGUAGUAGUGGGUGUAGCGUACCUACUAGCCUACGACGGGUACGGGUUGUGAGAGCAAGAGCCCGGAGAUGGAUUCUGAGACACGAAUCCAGGCCCUACGGGGUGCAGCAGGCGCGAAAACUUUACAAUGCUGGAAACAGCGAUAAGGGGACCUCGAGUGCCAGGUUACAAAUCUGGCUGUCGUGAUGCCUAAAAAGCAUUGCAUAGCAAGGGCCGGGCAAGACCGGUGCCAGCCGCCGCGGUAACACCGGCGGCUCGAGUGGUAACCGUUAUUAUUGGGUCUAAAGGGUCUGUAGCCGGCCGGAUAAGUCUCUUGGGAAAUCUGGCAGCUUAACUGUCAGGCUUUCAGGAGAUACUGUCUGGCUCGAGGCCGGGAGAGGUGAGAGGUACUUCAGGGGUAGGGGUGAAAUCUUGUAAUCCUUGAAGGACCACCAGUGGCGAAGGCGUCUCACCAGAACGGACCUGACGGCAAGGGACGAAAGCUAGGGGCACGAACCGGAUUAGAUACCCGGGUAGUCCUAGCCGUAAACGAUACUCGCUAGGUGUCGGCCACGGUGCGACCGUUGUCGGUGCCGUAGGGAAGCCGUGAAGCGAGCCACCUGGGAAGUACGGCCGCAAGGCUGAAACUUAAAGGAAUUGGCGGGGGAGCACCACAACGGGUGGAGCUUGCGGUUUAAUUGGAUUCAACGCCGGA
RNAcentral lists this ribosomal RNA (836 nucleotides) under uncultured archaeon. RNAcentral's name for it is "bacterial SSU rRNA". It matches the Rfam family "Archaeal small subunit ribosomal RNA", at positions 85 to 922 of the family's 1478-position model. The record is from RNAcentral.